AACGAACGCUGGCGGCAUGCCUAACACAUGCAAGUCGAACGAGACCUUCGGGUCUAGUGGCGCACGGGUGCGUAACGCGUGGGAACCUGCCCUUAGGUUCGGAAUAACUCCCCGACAGGGGUGCUAAUACCGGAUAAUGUCUUCGGACCAAAGAUUUAUCGCCUUUGGAUGGGCCCGCGUUGGAUUAGCUAGUUGGUAGGGUAAAAGCCUACCAAGGCGACGAUCCAUAGCUGGUCCGAGAGGAUGAUCAGCCACACUGGGACUGAGACACGGCCCAGACUCCUACGGGAGGCAGCAGUGGGGAAUAUUGGACAAUGGGCGAAAGCCUGAUCCAGCAAUGCCGCGUGAGUGAUGAAGGCCUUAGGGUUGUAAAGCUCUUUUACCCGGGAUGAUAAUGACAGUACCGGGAGAAUAAGCUCCGGCUAACUCCGUG
Molecule: ribosomal RNA, 433 nt
Filed under: uncultured bacterium
Lineage: Bacteria
Description: partial 16S ribosomal RNA
Rfam family: Bacterial small subunit ribosomal RNA
Source: RNAcentral